Metopolophium dirhodum (rose-grain aphid) is the source of this 1558-nucleotide long non-coding RNA. RefSeq lists it as uncharacterized. NCBI's taxonomy places the organism in Eukaryota, Metazoa, Arthropoda, Insecta, Hemiptera, Aphididae. The record is from RefSeq and is a predicted model, not a curated record. The transcript is spliced from 4 exons.
GUUCAACCUUCAACGCUGAUAUCUCCGCUCGCCGCCGCGGCCGUUGUGUGCCUCAGUAAACCGCUUGUUCGGACGAAGUGUCGUGUACAACAAUAUCAAAUCGUCGUCACAAGUUACAAUCGUUGCCUUGUUUCUUGUCCGCGACGGUUGGCGUGAGGUGGCGUAAACAUUGCCGCCGUAAACGUCGUCGUCGUGCCGCCGCCGAAGUCAGUCGAUGCGAUCGUCGUUCGGCUCCGACGAGUACCUGUCUGGUACUCGUGAAACCACUGCCGUCGUUCCGGCUCGGAGUCUGUGUGCCGCGCAAGAGGCGGAAGUCAGUAAUCGGUCAGCUUCACGUCCGGACGUCCGGUCUGAAGCGACCAGAGGAUGCCGGAACAAUGCCGGCCCGGGUAUAUAGAUACAAUGUAUUCUAAUAAACCUGAAAUGGUGGUUUUCAGACCUUCAUAGAGUAAGUUUCAACAUUUUAGUACCUAGCUAAUUUAAGCUGAUGAAAUCAAAAGGAGCUCAUAAGGCUGGGAUGGCAAAAAUUAUUCUACCAUCUGAAUGAAUACCAAGAACAAAGCGCUACAAUGAAGAUGAUAGUUCAAUUUCAAAAUGCAGUAACACCAAAUGAAAUGGGACUAACAAAAUAAAAAUAAACUGCGUCAUUGUUGAUUUUGAAUUCACCCUCAUACUAUCCACCCUCAUAUUAAUAGCUGGAGCAAUAUCAAAUAGCCACAACAAAUCUAAAACCUUUAAAAUGAGAGGGCAACCUCUUAUAUUAAAAAUAGAUCAUCAAUCAACAGACAUCACAAAAUUGACAAGGGAGGACAUCAACCUAAUAAUAAAAACAAUAAUCCACAUAUUUAAAAACAAACCAGAUAAACAAGAGCUAAUCAUGAAUGAGCUCAAUGAGAGCUUUCUGGUAUAACCUAGGAUAUAUCAACAAAAAUGGUAGGAACUUAGACAAAACAUAGGACAGAAUUAUUAUGUAAACAAUCAUACAAUGACACUUAUAUUCAUGAUCCUGUAACAGACAAAUCAGUUCUGUUAACCUCACUAAAUGCAUAUUCAACCAUCUAAUAUUAAACACAGAAACCACAUUAGAAAAUCUUAUAUAACAAUCCUUAACCAAUUAAAACUAUUAUCUACCUACUCAGCCACUUAUCACACAAAAUUCUUUCACACCAAAAAUAAUAAUAAUAACCAGUCGCACAAUAAUUAUUAUUAUGCAAUUGAUAAUUUGUACUAGUUGUGAAGUAAAUAUGUAUUUGUUUUUAGUUUUUACUUUUAUAAUAUUUUAAUGCUAAUAAGUCUUAUUCUCUAUCCCCUUUUUUAGUGCGUUGAUUUGUUAAUUUACACUUAUAACUUUAAUAAUUCAGUUGAUCUUAAUGUUUAAGUUAUAGGUUAUUGUUUUGCUAAAUAGUAUCCCUUUUAAUUGAUAUAGAUUUCUACUUUAAUUUUCUAAUAAUUCUUAGUGUUAAUCCCCAGUUAAUUUAUACUUUUGAUUAUGAUUUUCUUUUUUUUUUUUGUAUAUUUUGUAAUUUUGUAGAUAAUAUGUUGAUAAGUCUUAAUAUUA